UUCAUGUUUUGUUAUAUAUAUAUACACAUGUAUACACAUAUAUAUUAGAUCACUAUUGUAGAUGAUAGGCUUUAUAUAUAUGAUUAAUAAAUAAAUUCACAUAUAGGAAAAAAAAAGUUAACACAACAUUAUGCAAUUUCCCAGAGCUCUGAAUAACUGCUUGGAGCAAGCCUUGCCAAUAGAAAUCUCAGCAGGGAAUUAGCAGGUGCUGCCUCUACAGAUGGUUUGAGAAGCCAAGGCUUUGGUCUGGGGCAAUGAGAAAAGAGAGAUUUGGGGCUUCUCACUAUUCCUGAAUAACUGUGAAUUUGGAAUGAUACUUUUAGCCACCAUAUAACCUGGGAGGGUUGGCAGCCUAGAAACACUUGUGUAUAGUUACAGGGUAGGAAUGGGUAGAGAAGAGAGGUUGGUGUCAAUGUGGAGGCCUCUAGUAAACUGAGCUUUUGAUUUCCACACUGGACAACGAGGGCCACAUAAGCGAUAUUCUUCUAAUACAAUCAAUGAAUUUUCAGAGUUCCCUUAAAAAUCGUUUCCAUUGUAAAUUUGACUUGACCUUGUUUCCUCAUGACUGCCACCACUAAACCUCAAUUGUCUUUACUUCUUUCUGGGUAGGGAGCUUUAGUUUCAUACAGUUAGUUUUUCACUGUAUUCCUUCUAGUGAAUAUUGUAAAAGUUUUAUUUCUCUUCUACAGAAUAGAAUAUGCUUGCUUCAAUGUCCUUGGCCGCAAAACUUAGGGACUCUGCCAAGUGAUAUUGUUGCAGAAAAAUAACAUAUGGCCCUGGAGAGGCAUCCAUAGCAUAAUAGAUUGCAAUGUGUGGGGAGGAAGAAAGACACAUCCAUUAGUGACAACAUAAGUGUGGUAAGUUACCCAACAGACUAUUUUCUGUUGCUCAUGAAACUUUCCUACUUGAACCUGUCUGUGAUGUUGCUGAAAUGAC
This 936-nucleotide long non-coding RNA is filed under the name Callithrix jacchus (white-tufted-ear marmoset). Its description in RNAcentral is "lncRNA (ENSCJAG00000073150.1)". The record is from RNAcentral. Lineage: Eukaryota; Metazoa; Chordata; Mammalia; Primates; Cebidae.